CUCCUUCACCCUUUCCUUUCCCUUUCCCUUCUUCAUACUUCUCUCUUUCUCCUUUUUUUCUUCCCAUUUCUAUUCCUUGAACCCUCUUUUCUUGCUCCUUUCAUUUCUCCUCCAGAGUGCCUUUUUUCCUCUCUUCCAGUUGACUCACUCCUCCAAGAAUAGGGAUCUUGUGCUUUCCUGUCAAUUUGAUCCUGGAAAAACUCCUUCCUCUCUCCCUUCCGGCCUCCUGUCUUCCCCCCUACUCUCAAACUGGGAGCCAUAUGUGUGGCAAGUUGUGUGCUAUACUGUGGGGAUCCUGCCUCCCUAUCAUUAUACUCUUAGAAGGGCUCUGCUGUCCCCCAGCCAACUUUUCCCAAGCCUAAGUCUCCUUUCUCAUUAUUGGAGAGCUGGAGCAGAAUUGGUGCAUCUCUGAGCGCCCCUCAGAACUCACUUAGCACACCAUCCCUCUCUCAUCCCCCAUCCUGGAACAGGGCUAACCAUACUUAUAUAUUACCAUCCUGAUAGAGAUCAUGUGUUCGAAG
Long non-coding RNA from Vombatus ursinus (common wombat), 521 nucleotides. RefSeq lists it as uncharacterized. The record is from RefSeq and is a predicted model, not a curated record. Lineage: Eukaryota; Metazoa; Chordata; Mammalia; Diprotodontia; Vombatidae. The transcript is spliced from 3 exons.